This 473-nucleotide ribosomal RNA is filed under the name uncultured bacterium. Its description in RNAcentral is "bacterial SSU rRNA". It matches the Rfam family "Bacterial small subunit ribosomal RNA", at positions 355 to 825 of the family's 1533-position model. The record is from RNAcentral.
UGGGGAAUUGUUCACAAUGGGCGCAAGCCUGAUGAUGCAACGCCGCGUGGGGGAUGAAGGUCUUCGGAUCGUAAACCCCUGUCGAAUGGGACGAAAGACUCGCGAGUGAAUACUUCGCGAGAGUGACGGUACCGUUAAAGGAAGCCACGGCUAACUCUGUGCCAGCAGCCGCGGUAAUACAGAGGUGGCAAGCGUUGUUCGGAAUUACUGGGCGUAAAGGGCGCGUAGGCGGCCCUCUAAGUCAGACGUGAAAUCCCCCGGCUUAACCUGGGAACUGCGUCUGAUACUGGAGGGCUUGAGUAUGGGAGAGGGAUGUAGAAUUCCAGGUGUAGCGGUGAAAUGCGUAGAUAUCUGGAGGAAUACCGGUGGCGAAGGCGGCAUCCUGGACCAUUACUGACGCUGAGGCGCGAAAGCUAGGGGAGCAAACGGGAUUAGAUACCCACGUAGUCCCUGAGCGGGCUGGCAAGGCGCAU